This 253-nucleotide ribosomal RNA is filed under the name uncultured bacterium. RNAcentral's name for it is "partial 16S ribosomal RNA". It matches the Rfam family "Bacterial small subunit ribosomal RNA", at positions 524 to 776 of the family's 1533-position model. The record is from RNAcentral.
UACGUAGGGGGCUAGCGUUGUCCGGAAUCAUUGGGCGUAAAGAGCGUGUAGGCGGCCCGGUAAGUCCGCUGUGAAAGUCGGGGGCUCAACCCUCGGAUGCCGGUGGAUACUGUCGGGCUUGAGUACGGAAGAGGCGAGUGGAAUUCCUGGUGUAGCGGUGAAAUGCGCAGAUAUCAGGAGGAACACCGAUUGCGAAGGCAGCUCGCUGGGACGUUACUGACGCUGAGACGCGAAAGCGUGGGGAGCAAACAGG